UCCUCCACACCGAGCCGCCGCCUCCCCAAACUUCUGUACGAGAGAGAGGGUUUCCACCGAGAGCGUCUCCUACCGUCGCCGUCGCCAUGGCCUACCUCGACGCCACCUGAGCCCGGGAAUAGAACUGCCGUGGCCUCCUCUUCGUCCUGGACUGCUUCGUGGAACGAGGGACGCCAAGAGAAGCUCGCUUUUCUUCCACGCCGUCGUCGUCUAACCCCGGCCACCCUUCUUCCUCGUCACCGGCACCUCCUCUGCCUCCCCUUUCUCAUCACCAAGCAACCCAGGGUAUGAAGACAUGUUCGAUGAAGACGAUGUUAGCAAGGUUACCCUUCCGGCUUGGCCUGGGCAGGGUUAUGGACGCCACUGGUUAUCUUCAGGACUCUUAGUCCAAUUUGUAUCUUGUCCGUACUCGGACGUAUUUGAGCUUCUGUAUGAUUUGGAUCUUUGUAUUGUA
This is a non-coding RNA of Lolium perenne, 454 nucleotides long. The record is from RefSeq and is a predicted model, not a curated record. Lineage: Eukaryota; Viridiplantae; Streptophyta; Magnoliopsida; Poales; Poaceae.